GGAGCNAUCCUGAUUAAGUGGCGCACGGGUGAGUAACACGUGCGAUGAUCUACCUCCUCGUGGGGAAUAACCCUGGGAAACCGGGGCUAAUACUNGCAUACGUUCGAGAGAAGAAAGCCGAAAGGCGCAGGGAGAGGAGUCCGCGGUCGAUUAGCUAGUUGGCAGGGUAAUGGCCUACCAAGGCGACGAUCGAUAGCCGGCCUGAGAGGGCACACGGCCACACUGGCACUGAAACACGGGCCAGACUCCUACGGGAGGCAGCAGUGGGGAAUCUUGCACAAUGGGGGAAACCCUGAUGCAGCGACGCCGCGUGAACGAUGAAGCCCUUCGGGGUGUAAAGUUCUUUCGACGGGGACGAUAAUGACGGUACCCGGAGAAGAAGCUGCGGCUAACUACGUGCCAGCAGCCGCGGUAAUACGUAGGCAGCAAGCGUUGUUCGGAAUUACUGGGCGUAAAGAGUGCGUAGGCGGUUAACUAAGUUUGGUGUGAAAUCUCCCGGCUUAACUGGGAGGGUGCGCCGAAAACUGGNUANCUAGAGUGUGGGAGAGGAUAGUGGAAUUCCUGGNGUAGCGGUGAAAUGCGUAUAUAUCAGGAGGAACACCUGCGGUGUAGACGGCCAUCUGGACCAUGAACUGACGCUGAGGCACGAAAGCGU
This 655-nucleotide ribosomal RNA is filed under the name uncultured Acidobacteriota bacterium. Its description in RNAcentral is "bacterial SSU rRNA". It matches the Rfam family "Bacterial small subunit ribosomal RNA", at positions 76 to 762 of the family's 1533-position model. Lineage: Bacteria; Pseudomonadati; Acidobacteriota. The record is from RNAcentral.